Molecule: long non-coding RNA, 418 nt
Filed under: Sinocyclocheilus grahami
Lineage: Eukaryota; Metazoa; Chordata; Actinopteri; Cypriniformes; Cyprinidae
Description: lncRNA (ENSSGRG00000052092.1)
Source: RNAcentral
CAACGUCAUGCCUUUUUUAUUUUCAGAAAUCUCCCAUGUUAAAACACAGGUUUUAUGGUUCAGAAGAGCUGUACUUGGAGGACUUGCUACAUGCACACUCUUAAAUAUAUUAUGGUGUUGGGCAGUUUUAGAGAUUGUUCCCCAGAUGGCCGUGGAGUCACUGCUGGAGGAGAAACUCUUAAAUAGCAGCGCAGGACAAACAGAGACGACUCAUACAGCACACACAUUUAUCUACUCCAACAUAUCCCUAGAGGAGUCUGAAAAGGCAGGGGAGAUAGCAACGAUACCUCUAACCAAGAUCAUAACACAGAAGUACAGCCGGUUCUCAUGGGUGGCAGAGCUGAUCCAGAUCUUCAUCACCAUCAGUAUAACCGUGAGCUUCCUCGUGAUGGGCAUAGCCAUGAAGCACACCAGUGAG